RNAcentral lists this small nuclear RNA (119 nucleotides) under Crocodylus porosus (Australian saltwater crocodile). RNAcentral's name for it is "U2 spliceosomal RNA (ENSCPRG00005009431.1)". It matches the Rfam family "U2 spliceosomal RNA", at positions 67 to 185 of the family's 192-position model. From Rfam's summary of the family: U2 is a small nuclear RNA (snRNA) component of the spliceosome (involved in pre-mRNA splicing). Complementary binding between U2 snRNA (in an area lying towards the 5' end but 3' to hairpin I) and the branchpoint sequence (BPS) of the intron results the bulging out of an unpaired adenosine, on the BPS, which initiates a nucleophilic attack at the intronic 5' splice site, thus starting the first of two transesterification reactions that mediate splicing. The record is from RNAcentral. Lineage: Eukaryota; Metazoa; Chordata; Crocodylia; Crocodylidae.
UGUCCUCCAUAGGAGGUCUAUAUUGAGCAGAUUCUUUUUGGUGUUGGGUGGUGGAACUGGAGCGUGCUCCAUCCACUCCAUGCAUUGACCUGGUAUUGCAGUGCUUCCAGGACCGGUGC